Molecule: ribosomal RNA, 492 nt
Filed under: Neogloboquadrina pachyderma
Lineage: Eukaryota; Foraminifera; Rotaliida; Globorotaliidae
Description: bacterial SSU rRNA
Rfam family: Eukaryotic small subunit ribosomal RNA
Source: RNAcentral
GCACCACAAGAACGCGUGGAGCAUGUGGCUUAAUUUGACUCAACGCGGGAAAUCUUACCGGGUCCGGACACACUGAGGAUUGACAGGCAAUAUCUCAUGUUAACGGUAAGUUUACUUACCGCUUAACAUCAGUGUUAAAUAUGCUAGUCCUUUCAUGAUUAUGUGAUAGGUGGUGCAUGGCCGUUCUUAGUUCGUGGAGUGAUCUGUCUGCUUAAUUGCGUUUCACUAAGGGCCCAUAAAUUCAAGGUAUGUUAGCUCUCGUCGCUCUAUGGACCCCUUAACUCCAAUAUUCUUAUUGUGUUAAGCGCGUGUCUUUAUUUUAAGAGUUUUAAGACACUGCGCAUGCUGUUGGGCUCUGAAAGCAACAACGUGACCGCAACGUCUUGUUGCCUUAAACUAGCGUAUAUUGCAAUUUAUUGUAAUAUCGCUUACAGAGGCUAUUUAAAACUAGACGGACCGCUGUUUCUUUCUUAAACCAAAGGAAGGUUGCGG